AUUGAACGCUGGCGGCAGGCCUAACACAUGCAAGUCGAACGGUAACAGGAAACAGCUUGCUGUUUCGCUGACGAGUGGCGGACGGGUGAGUAAUGUCUGGGAAACUGCCUGAUGGAGGGGGAUAACUACUGGAAACGGUAGCUAAUACCGCAUAACGUCGCAAGACCAAAGAGGGGGACCUUCGGGCCUCUUGCCAUCGGAUGUGCCCAGAUGGGAUUAGCUAGUAGGUGGGGUAACGGCUCACCUAGGCGACGAUCCCUAGCUGGUCUGAGAGGAUGACCAGCCACACUGGAACUGAGACACGGUCCAGACUCCUACGGGAGGCAGCAGUGGGGAAUAUUGCACAAUGGGCGCAAGCCUGAUGCAGCCAUGCCGCGUGUAUGAAGAAGGCCUUCGGGUUGUAAAGUACUUUCAGCGGGGAGGAAGGGAGUAAAGUUAAUACCUUUGCUCAUUGACGUUACCCGCAGAAGAAGCACCGGCUAACUCCGUGCCAGCAGCCGCGGUAAUACGGAGGGUGCAAGCGUUAAUCGGAAUUACUGGGCGUAAAGCGCACGCAGGCGGUUUGUUAAGUCAGAUGUGAAAUCCCCGGGCUCAACCUGGGAACUGCAUCUGAUACUGGCAAGCUUGAGUCUCGUAGAGGGGGGUAGAAUUCCAGGUGUAGCGGUGAAAUGCGUAGAGAUCUGGAGGAAUACCGGUGGCG
RNAcentral lists this ribosomal RNA (700 nucleotides) under uncultured Pseudomonadota bacterium. RNAcentral describes it as "bacterial SSU rRNA". It matches the Rfam family "Bacterial small subunit ribosomal RNA", at positions 28 to 717 of the family's 1533-position model. Lineage: Bacteria; Pseudomonadati; Pseudomonadota. The record is from RNAcentral.